Marmota monax (woodchuck) is the source of this 4314-nucleotide long non-coding RNA. RefSeq lists it as uncharacterized. NCBI's taxonomy places the organism in Eukaryota, Metazoa, Chordata, Mammalia, Rodentia, Sciuridae. The transcript is spliced from 3 exons. The record is from RefSeq and is a predicted model, not a curated record.
ACAUUAACCCAGCACAGGAGAGCUCCUACUAACCCAGCACAGUGCCUGGCAAACAGGAGGGGACUGAGAAAGCUUAGUUCUCUCCCUCUCUCCACCUUCCCCUAUUCAACAUGGGGAGGAGUCGUAGAUUUAGACUUGUUAAGUCUGGUGCUCUACUUAUUUCUCUCUAAGGAAACUGUCUUUGAAUUCUUGAAGCCUCUCUCCUCAGGUUACAGAUCAUUGUGCUGUGGACAUAGUAGGAACUCAGUGCGAGGGACUGAGUGGUUCUGAGGACUAGGCAGGAUGGCAGAGGAAGCCCACAGCCCCUCUGAGGGCUCUUGUUCCCAGUGACUCCUCUCAUGGUUCCCUAAAGCUCUUCCUGUUGCUGUGUGGCACAGGGUAGGAGGUGGAGAAAGCUGUCCCUUUAUUUUUCCCUCCUGAGCUCAACUCCAGUAAGUGACUUCAGGCUUGCCCCUCGAUUCCCUUGCGAUUUAACUUGAAGGCUUUGGUGAUACACAUUGUUAGUACAAUAAGGAUUUUUUUCUUAAAUAAAGAGAAGCUUUGCGUAUGAAUAAAACUCUUACAGAAGAAAAUCUAUUUUUUAAAAAUCCCUUUAUUGUAGAAUAAUCUUAUAUAGGAGUCAGAUACUCCUCCUGCCCCCUCCUGCCAACUAGGGAGACUUGAAGAUAGCUCUCGGUGUUUAGGGAAGAUCAACAGGCCAUUUCACUUUUCCUAGCUAGCAAGAGGGAGACCUUGUAAUGUCCGCAGCUGAAACAGUUUUCCUGGAGAGAAGGGACCGACAAGGAUGCCAACUCAACCCAGGGGCUCGGUUUGACAUGGGGACCUCCUGAGAAGACUUCAGAGGAGCCUCUGUCUUUGCCUCGUUCUGACCCAUUUUGGACAACUGCAUAACUGUCUUCAGAAGUCAGAUGCUGGAUUUCAUCAAGAGCCUUUCCUGUGGCGGUGCAGACGAUCCCGUGGUUCCUCUCCUCUGUUUCCACUGCGAGGACCUGAGCUCUGGCCAGCUCUGCACUCCCAGCAGCCAGUGGCCCAUCUCUGUCCUCUGACCCAGCGCCUUUGCUGGAGCAAGGACUUCCUGGUUGAGAUCUGACCUAAACCCAUUCCUCCGCACGGACCACCUCCCCUGGCACACGCACAGAGCGAGAAGUUUCCUGGGUCCAUUUUAUCGCCCAGUGAACACAGAAGUAAUGGAGUCUCGCCCACGACGCCUUCUGCUAAGGAGGAGCCAGAGUGAGUAGCAGGGGUCGGAGGAAGAACCCGGAGGUGAGUGUGGUCCCAGAACCCAGAGCAGGUGAGAGACCUGUCCCUGUCCCGCGGUGUGAGAGGGGGGUUUGUAACAGCCGGAUGACUUCCUGGGCCACCAGGAUCCGGGAGCUACUGAGGGCAAAGGCAGCACCUGUCCCCUGGCUGCCGCUGAGGUGGUGGGAACCCCCGCUGUGGCAGGGCUGAGGGAGAGGCCCCGGCUGCUUCAGUGGCCGCUGAUCCUGCCCCCUGUGCCCUUGGGCCCCCCAACCUCUCCUGCAGGCGCCCAUUUCAACCACGUCCCACGUCCCUGGCUUCUGGAACUACCGCGUACGCAGGAAGUGAGGCCGCUGUGAGAGCCGGCUGUCACCUCAGAGACCUCACCUUUGAGGAUCCCAUCUCUGGCCCAGAUCACCAGAAACCAGCAGGGGCACCCAGCAUUUUGGAAGACCAAGUUGGUGACCACCUCCGCGGAAUGGUCUGGGAAGGCCUUUCUGUUCCAACACCACUCCUGCUGGCAGCCGUCUUCUGUCACAGACCUCCUGAAGGGGGGACCACUCCUGGUCCCUCAGUAACAGGCUGAAGAGAGCUGCCUUUGUUUCUAACUAGUCUUCCCCACCUGCGGUGGACGCCCGCUGAUGAACUGUUGCCUUGUCUGAAUCGACUCCUUUGUUUUCCUUUUUUCCCUUCGUUGGUAAUUCCCACCAGGAGGGCGGCAUCCCCAAAGUUGUUGACAUUAGGUCUCUGAUGCUGAGCUGAACCCUGUCAUACAGGGGCCUGCAGGAUUUCAAGAGAGAUGGGGCCCUGCUGGUGAGGAGGAGCUAGAGUGGAUGGAAAGGUGAGCCCGUGGCACCCGAGGGGACUCGCAGAAUCUAGAAACUGGAGGAGCUGAGUUAAAAGAGGCAUUUUAGUUCAUUUUAGCACACAUUUAUGGGGAGUACACUAUGUCCUAAGCACUGAGCUAAGCAGAGUGGACACAGCCAUGAGUGAAACUCAGUUCCUUUGGGAGUCCACAGUCACUACAGGGUGUUAAUUGCACCUGAUGGUGGGUAAGAGCUUAGACUCUGAGCAAGACUACUUGGAUCUGAAUCUCACUUCUGCCACUUAGAAUAAUGGGUGACUUUGGGCACGUUUAUAAGUCUCUGUGUUUACAUUUCUCCAUUUAUAAAAUGCAGACAGUAAUAGUACCUGCUCACUGGGUUGUUGUGAGUGUGUGUGUGUGUGUAUGUGUGUGCACAUGUGCAUGUUUUACACUGUACCUGGAGUACAGUGAGCAUUGCUGUAGGGUCUUUCAGUCCCUAGUCCCCCUUUCUUUCUGUUCUGAUCAAAAUACACAGACUGCCUUGAAAACUCCGAGAACCACUGGAUGUUUUCUCCAGUAGACCUGACAUUCCCAGGCACUGAUAAAGAUGUUUACGUUGUUGCUCAAAACCCUGAAAGAAAAUUGCCCUGAACCAAAGUCCCUAACCUGGUCCUUUGUCAUGGGCACCCCUGGAUGGGGCAUCUCCUGUUGCCGUCUUCUGCUAAGAAAUGCUACAGACCCCUCUGUACAUAAGUUCCUCCAAUGAGACCUUGGGACUGACCACGCAUUGGGCAUUUAGAGCUUCUUCCUUUGAUAUUCCAACUGGUCAGGACAGUUUAGAGCAGUCCCUUUUGGAAAUCCCCUGUUGUCAAUACUGGAGGUGACUUCACCUUCAAGUUCAGUUGGGACAGCGUAACUAUCUGUGUGCCUGUUAAUACUAGGUAAAAUCAUGGAGGCCCAUAUCAGGAGCCGUGGGAACGGAGACCAGGGAAAUCUCAAGAGGCAAUAUUUCCCUUACAAAAUUAAGUGGUCUCCUGGCCUCUUUGUCUGAAUCUCUCUUUGUCUUUUCUGAGUCUCUUCCGAACCACAUGCUUCUUCAGCCAAUCCGCUGAACCAGUGAUCUGCCAUCAUCAGCCAGUGGCUGGCUUUCUCCAUGCCCCCUUUGACAAGGGGCUCUCCUCCAGGAAACAGAAGCGGUCUUCAUCUUUAUAUAUACACACAUUUAUUUUUUUAUUUAUUUUUAUGUGGUGCCGAGGAUGGAACCCGGGGAGGGCCUCGUGCUAGGCGAGUGCUCUACCGCUGAGCCACGACCCCAGCCCCCUCUUCACCUGGUACUCCUGUCCCUCCUAGUCUGCCUCUGUCCUUCACACUGUCCACCUGAGCCCUGUCUUAAGGUCCUUGCCGAGGAUACCCUCAGUUCUCAUCACAGUCUGAGCACCCCACUUUCCGUCAUGGGGAUGGGAGGUGGUCUUUCCCUCUGGGCUUGGUGUGCUCUGUUGCUCUGUGCCAUCAAGGGACGUGGGGAAGAUCAGGCACCAAAGACCAACUCAGGGAGGGAAACUGGGGAUACCAUGUGUGGACCCCUCAGGGUACUGGCCGAGGAGACGGGGACCUGCUCCUCUCUGACUGCCACUAACUCCCCCUGUGACCAGUAUCUUGCCAACUUUUAACCACACAAGGGACCUCUUUUAUUAUUUCUCUUUGCCUGAACUUCUUCAUGGUUUGAAAGAUUUUAUCUCCCCCCAAACAUCCUGCAGUUUAAUGAAUUAUUUUUCCAUGUUUUUUGUUACCAGAUAUUGAACCUAGGGGUGCUUAACCACUGGUUUUUAAAUUUUGAGACAGGGUCUUGCUUAGAGCCUCGCUAAGUUGCUGAGGCUGGCUUUGAAUUUGUGAUCCUCCUGCCUCAGCCUCCCAAGUGGCUGGGAUCACAUGUAAGUGCCACUGUGCCCAGCUACAAUCUUUUACUUAUAUAUGUUUAAGGUAUACAACAUGAUGUUCUGAUGUGCAUAUGUGUAGUCAAUAAUCACUACAGUCAAAUGCAUCUAUCACCUUCCGUAGCUACCCUCUGUCUUUCUGUGGGUACUACAUGGACUUAAAAUCUGCUCUUUAGCAGAUUUUUAGCAUAUGGACAAUAUUGUUAACUGCAGUCUUCAUGCUGUGCAUUAGAUCUCUAGAUCCUUCCCCUCUGCAGCCCCCUGGCCACACUGUUCUACUCUAUUUGUAUUUAUUGGACUCUGUAUGUAAGUGAUAUCAUAAAGUGCUUUCUCCUU